This 209-nucleotide unclassified non-coding RNA is filed under the name uncultured fungus. Its description in RNAcentral is "sequence contains ITS1". The record is from RNAcentral. Lineage: Eukaryota; Fungi.
UUGAUUCAUUUGUAAAUCACUCAGACGUAGAUUCCGCCGGCGGCGAAUGCAGUGUUUGGGUCCCCCGGCGGGCGCCUUGGGUCCGGGCCGCCGCCCCCUGGGGGGUGGGGCGCCGGGGCGCUCCGCCGAAGCAACGUGCGGUAUGUUCACAGGGGUUUGGGAGUCGGAUGAACUCGGUAAUGAUCCCUCCGCUGGUUCACCAACGGAGA